Prunus mume (Japanese apricot) is the source of this 443-nucleotide non-coding RNA. The record is from RefSeq and is a predicted model, not a curated record. Lineage: Eukaryota; Viridiplantae; Streptophyta; Magnoliopsida; Rosales; Rosaceae.
UCUGAUGUCUAUGCCGAAAGAGAAUAUAGGCUACUUGGUUAAUCCAACGACCGAACCCUUAUGUGUAGAGAGGCUUGCCUAAUCUGCCAAGGACCAAUCAAUUUUUUUGUACUUGUUACCUCCAUCAUCAAUAAACUAUAUCGCUUUUCCCAAAAACAAAAACAAAGGAAUGAUGGUAACCGCCAUGUUGCUCCAGUACAGUGCUACGUAUAUUGCAAGGUCUGAUCACGAAUCUCCUUGAACUAUUGGGAAUCAACCGCAUACGUGAAAUAAAAUUGAUCCAUUCUCAAUCCCUUGGACUUCUAGAUCACAUGUGUGAAGUGAUAAAACAUUUGGAUGGUAUAGACAUGGAAGAUUUAUGUGGUGGAGCCAUUUUCCAAGCUGUCGAGCUAGGGGUUUUCGAGUUUAUUGAUCGUAUAUUCCAAGCAAGUCCAGAUCUCGUG